Long non-coding RNA from Amblyraja radiata (thorny skate), 144 nucleotides. RefSeq lists it as uncharacterized. The transcript has 3 exons. The record is from RefSeq and is a predicted model, not a curated record. NCBI's taxonomy places the organism in Eukaryota, Metazoa, Chordata, Chondrichthyes, Rajiformes, Rajidae.
CUUGGAUGAUGGUUCGCCAGAGUUUCCUGUCCUUGGCAUUGGUUUCCCAAUUGUCGAUGUCACUUUCACAUUUCAUCUUGCUGGCUUUUCAGGUGUCUUUGAAUCUCUUCCUUUGUCCGCCUCUUUUACAAAUGAGGAUUUGAU